RNAcentral lists this transfer RNA (83 nucleotides) under Candidatus Woesearchaeota archaeon. RNAcentral's name for it is "tRNA-Ser". It matches the Rfam family "tRNA". Rfam says of the family: Transfer RNA (tRNA) molecules are approximately 80 nucleotides in length. Their secondary structure includes four short double-helical elements and three loops (D, anti-codon, and T loops). Lineage: Archaea; Nanobdellati; Candidatus Woesearchaeota. The record is from RNAcentral.
GCCAACGUCGCAUAACCUGGUAGUGCGCAAGACUGGAAAUCUUGUUCCGUAAGGAAUUCCCGGUUCAAAUCCGGGCGUUGGCG